UAACGCGAAGAACCUUACCAGCCCUUGACAUGUCCGGGACCGGUCGCAGAGACGCGACCUUCUCUUCGGAGCCCGGAACACAGGUGCUGCAUGGCUGUCGUCAGCUCGUGUCGUGAGAUGUUGGGUUAAGUCCCGCAACGAGCGCAACCCCCGUCCUUAGUUGCUACCAUUCAGUUGAGCACUCUAGGGAGACUGCCGGUGAUAAGCCGCGAGGAAGGUGGGGAUGACGUCAAGUCCUCAUGGCCCUUACGGGCUGGGCUACACACGUGCUACAAUGGCGGUGACAAUGGGAUGCAAAGGCGCAAGCCCCAGCAAAUCUCAAAAAGCCGUCUCAGUUCGGAUUGGGCUCUGCAACUCGAGCCCAUGAAGUUGGAAUCGCUAGUAAUCGUGGAUCAGCACGCCACGGUGAAUACGUUCCCGGGUCUUGUACACACGC
Molecule: ribosomal RNA, 436 nt
Filed under: uncultured bacterium
Lineage: Bacteria
Description: bacterial SSU rRNA
Rfam family: Bacterial small subunit ribosomal RNA
Source: RNAcentral